AACUUUCGGCAACGGAUCACUUGGCUCCGGCAUCGAUGAAGAACGCAGCGAAAUGCGAUAACUAGUGUGAAUUGCAGAAUUCAGUGAAUCAUCGAGUCUUUGAACGCACAUUGCGGCCGCUGGCAUUCCGGCGGCCAUGCCUGUCCGAGCGCCACUAAACACCCUCGGGCCCCAGCGCCCGGCGUUGGGGGUGCCGCCCACUAGCGGCGGCGCCCCUGAAAGUUAGUGGCGGCGGCGCCUGCAGCGACGCGCGUAGUGACUUAUAGCGCGCAGCCCAGGCGACGCCUGCUCCCUAGCGGACCCCCGCACCCCAAUCUGAAGGUUGGCCUCGGAUCAGGCAGGACUACCCGCUGAACUUAAGCAUAUCAAUAAGCGGAGGCU
RNAcentral lists this unclassified non-coding RNA (381 nucleotides) under uncultured Sordariomycetes. RNAcentral describes it as "sequence contains ITS2". The stretch from base 1 to 154 matches the Rfam family "5.8S ribosomal RNA". The record is from RNAcentral. Lineage: Eukaryota; Fungi; Ascomycota; Sordariomycetes.